AUUUUUGCCAAAAAAAAAAAAAAAAAAAAUAAAAUGUCCCGCAAAGCACUUCAAUUGCAUGCCAAUCUCUAACUAACUACAUUAACUACAAAAAAUACCCAUCCUCCUCUUCAAUUUCUUCAUCUUCACUGUCCCACAACAAAUAAAUCAGAGAAAUGGAAGGAUUUAAUGAUUGAGGGUUUAGAAAUGAACGCCAGUUUGUUUUUGAGAGUAGUGGUGCCACUGA
RNAcentral lists this unclassified non-coding RNA (226 nucleotides) under Hevea brasiliensis (rubber tree). The record is from RNAcentral. Lineage: Eukaryota; Viridiplantae; Streptophyta; Magnoliopsida; Malpighiales; Euphorbiaceae.